RNAcentral lists this ribosomal RNA (403 nucleotides) under Bacteroidota bacterium. RNAcentral describes it as "Bacteroidetes bacterium partial 16S ribosomal RNA". It matches the Rfam family "Bacterial small subunit ribosomal RNA", at positions 355 to 776 of the family's 1533-position model. Lineage: Bacteria; Pseudomonadati; Bacteroidota. RNAcentral also lists the same sequence under 1 other name. The record is from RNAcentral.
UGGGGAAUAUUGCACAAUGGAGGGAACUCUGAUGCAGCGACGCCGCGUGAACGAAGAAGGCUUUCGAGUCGUAAAGUUCUUUUAUAUGGGAAGAUAAUGACGGUACCAUAAGAAAAAGCCCCGGCUAACUACGUGCCAGCAGCCGCGGUAAUACGUAGGGGGCUAGCGUUGUCCGGAAUCACUGGGCGUAAAGGGUUCGCAGGCGGAAAUGCAAGUCAGGUGUAAAAGGCAGUAGCUUAACUACUGUAAGCAUUGGAAACUGCAUAUCUUGAGAAGAGUAGAGGUAAGUGGAAUUUUUAGUGUAGCGGUGAAAUGCGUAGAUAUUAAAAAGAAUACCGGUGGCGAAGGCGACUUACUGGGCUCAUUCUGACGCUGAGGAACGAAAGCGUGGGUAGCAAACAGG